CCGGUGUCGGCGCCAGGCUCAGGCAGCAGACUCUAUAGACACCAUUGUGAGGGGCGGGGGCUCGCAGGGUACCACAACAAAGAUGGCAGCCAACCGGAAGUGGCUUCGGCCACAACCAGGAUGGCGGCGAGGAAGGGCAGAUGUUACCUAAUGCCAUCCUCAUGAUGGUAACUCGGCCGUGUCCGCCCUCUCUGCCACACUCACGAGGCGGCCGAGGUGGGACCUCGGCAGAGAGGUGAAUCUGACGCUGCCUGUCGGCCCCUGCCGGGCUCCUGCGCGCCCGCGUUGCCUCCCAGCCCUCAGCCCGUGUCCCCGCGCCUGAAAACCACGCGGAAAUUCGCGCCGGGGGGCCAGCGUCGAAAUCGGGGUCACAGGCAGGCAGUCAGUCCGAUAGACGGAGCGGGGUCCUUCAUUUCUCGCUCUUUUUGCCGCCUUUGGGAGGUCGGUCGGAUCGUGGCCGACACACCAAGGCAAACCAGUUAGAAGGAAAUACUUGAGGAUGAGGGUGCCUGUCAGGAAAAUGAAGCCUGUGUUGAGAAGCUGAAGGGCGCAGUCCUGCCCCAGCUGGUUUUGGGCCCAUGUUUUGCUGCCUCUGGAAGAAGAGACCUGCAAGCAACAGGGAGCAGCAGAAGAGAUGACAGCCCUGCCAAAAUUCAUGCCAUAUUGGGCUGCCUGCGUUUGAGGCAAAAUGGCUUUCAGUGAAGGAUGCUGUGUCUGUCACAAGCUGGAGCCGCCCUUCAGCGUGGUGGUGCAAAGCAGGAACAGAGAAGAAUGCCUCAUGUUUGAGUCUGGAGCUGUGGCUGUCCUCUGUAAGUCGAUCUGUUUUGA
Molecule: long non-coding RNA, 828 nt
Organism: Catharus ustulatus (Swainson's thrush)
Lineage: Eukaryota; Metazoa; Chordata; Aves; Passeriformes; Turdidae
Exons: 4
Source: RefSeq, a predicted model, not a curated record